UGCUAUUUGUUGCUGACUGGCGAGGAGGCAAAAACAGCACCAUGUUAAAGCCACAUUCUUUGUGUCCCCUCUGAUCAGGAGUGAGCAGCGAGUGGUGGCAGUGUGGAGGUGGGGUGUGCAUAGGGGAACCUGCAAAAUCGAAGGAUGAGUGGAGCCGCUGUGCAGCCCACUCCUGCCAUGAAUUGGGUAGGUCCCUACUCAUCUGUCAUUCCCCCAAUCCUCCCCCUUCCCUUUCUUAAAGAUGGGCACUGUAUUUGCUCUUUUCCAGUUCUGUAGCUGAGAUAAGACCAAAUGACAGCAAUGUUUCCAAACAACCUUAAAAUCUUUGAACUUGUCACUUUUUGACUGCUCAAAAAUUCAUUACUAAUGCACUCUAAAUUAUAACUUUUCUUCACCAGAUUUUGAGACAAGAUUUUUCUGUGUGUGUCUGUCUGGAUGUUAUUGAUGUCAUCUCAUGGGAGGACAAAGCUACAGCCAGAGAAAGUGUUGCCUGAAACCUGCUUAUAGCAGCUGACCAAAUUUUGACUAACUCUAACUCAAGGCUUUCUGUGAGGCACAGGAAAAGUUGAUGAACCCUGCAAAAAUUUCCAAUUUCCUUACAAAGAAGAAGAAAAGGCGUUAUUAAGCAAUCCUGACAAGAGUCCUAUUCAGGUCUCAGUCUGCAGGUCCCUCGCACUCCAUGAUUCUGCAAAACAUCAGUCCUCUUUUGCACCCGAAUCUUUCUUCUACAAUGCAAAUCUAAAAGCAGUUCUGAUAGGUCUAUCGUGCUGUCCCGGUGACUUACUCUGGGGCACACUGGAAGCUGAAGCCAAACUUCAACUGAAAAUAGUUCAAAGCAUGCUGUUGCUAUUUCUUAAGCACCACCAGCAAACUCAGCACAGUAUGGAAGUCCCUGCCCCCAGGGAGCUUACAGUCUAAGCAGACAAAAAGAAGAUAGGGAGGGUCUUCACUGGUUUCACUGAUGUUUGAAUCAAUCCCAAAAUACGCUGGGAAGCCCGGAACAGAGAGUCCAUUUGGUAAGUAAGUCAUCGUCUCAUGGUCCAGCUUGGCUGGCUAGGGUGCCAAACCAUCAAAAUCACUUCCUUAUUAGGAAGUAUAUGUAUAAUCUGCUCCUUUCUUGUUCUCUUCUGAAACUCAAUGUUCCCAACAUAGUGGUGCCAUUUAACAUUACAUAUCUCCCCUAAACACCUGCUAUCAAAUGCAUCAAAUCUUUUCUUGUCAGCUUACGUAAUGCCCCAGGUCUUUGCAGCAUCGAGCAAAACUGAUACCACACAGCUGUUGUAGAGUCUUAUUUUUUGUUUUGCGGACAUGUCGCUACCCCAUACUUUUGCCCUUGAAUUUAUUUACAUUGAUCUUCACCUUUAUACCAGGCGAGCUAAAAAGGACACCAAAUAAAAUCCAGAAGAAGUGGUCCA
This 1415-nucleotide long non-coding RNA is filed under the name Crocodylus porosus (Australian saltwater crocodile). Its description in RNAcentral is "lncRNA (ENSCPRG00005001167.1)". The record is from RNAcentral. Lineage: Eukaryota; Metazoa; Chordata; Crocodylia; Crocodylidae.